GGGGGCGUACUGGUUUCGACUGAAAGUUAGAGACACAGACGGCAUGCCGAGGAAGUCUGGUUGGCCUCGUUAAAAUCUCUGGACAAACAAAAUAAACGCCAACGAUUACGAAGAUCUGGCUCUUGCUGCUUAAUUAAGCGGCUUCGUUUCUGUGCCAACGCCUGCUAGGCAUGGAGACGACGACAGCAGGCUGGCCCAUGAGGGGAGCGACCGCUCUUGUGGGUGAGAUCGACCGUGGACGACCGGGGAGAAGUUGCCCGCCCGCUGGCGACUUCUCUCUUAAAUUAAAAGCGAGGCUAAGCAUGUAGAAGUUUGUGACGAAGGCCUUCAGGACAGGGGUUCAACUCCCCUCGCCUCCACCA
RNAcentral lists this transfer-messenger RNA (362 nucleotides) under Pseudomonadota bacterium. Its description in RNAcentral is "Proteobacteria bacterium (freshwater metagenome) transfer-messenger RNA". It matches the Rfam family "transfer-messenger RNA". Rfam says of the family: Bacterial tmRNA, also known as 10Sa RNA or SsrA, is named for its dual tRNA and mRNA-like properties. Its role is to liberate the mRNA from a stalled ribosome. Lineage: Bacteria; Pseudomonadati; Pseudomonadota. The record is from RNAcentral.